Unclassified non-coding RNA from Vigna unguiculata (cowpea), 2840 nucleotides. The record is from RefSeq and is a predicted model, not a curated record. NCBI's taxonomy places the organism in Eukaryota, Viridiplantae, Streptophyta, Magnoliopsida, Fabales, Fabaceae.
UUGUGUUUCAUUCAGCAACGUAUUCUUCUCAACAACUCAGCAGUGCACUUUUUCUCUAAAAAUCAUGAUUAUUUCUUCCUUAUGCCCCACCAAUCAACGCUCCUCCAGCGGCGAAGAGGUACCCCUCCAUCCUACGACAACGUUAUCUUUCUCUUCACCGACGACGAGGAACUUGCAUCCGUAGCCAACAAUGUCUUGUCUUUCUUUACGCCGGCGACGACGAACUCCUAACCCUAGCCAAAGGCGUCUUCUCUUUCUCUACACCGACGACGACGAGGAACUUGCAGUAGUGGUCCCCUCUAGUAGCAAAUCCUCUUUUUUUCUUCAUCAACUUCAUAACAGGACACAGAACUUAAAUGUAAAGGCUUUGGGACUGGUCAACAAAAUAAACUGGCCACUUUAUAAGAAUAUUUCCAUGGCUUCAUCCGGAGAAGUUGCAUCGAUACCUGGAAGUUUAUCUUUAGUUAACUUGAAGAUUGUCAACAGAAUGGCUGAAAAUUUCUUGGUCUAUCUUGAAGAGCAUGUUAUUUGGUUUGUGGAAUGUUGCAGUGAUUUGGAGUUGUCAAAGACACUCUUCUUUUUUGUUCUCUUGCAGUCUUUUUGUAUAAAACGAAAAGAGUAAGACAUUUGUGCACUAUUUGAAUGUCUAUUUCUUAUUCUAAAGGCUGAGUGGGAAACUUCAGUAGCUGCUGAUGUCGUAUUGGAUGAGAUAUUGGACUUCCAUCUGGAAAAUCACUCUUUCAACUUCAAGCUGAGAGGAUUCUGUGUGCAAAGACUAGCGGCUCAAGCUACAAAUGAGAUUAAGUUCCAUUUGUCUUGCUUCAAUUUCUUCAUGCAUUCUACUGUUACAUUCUCAUCAGUUUAUGUAUUGUUGAUUCAACUUCUUCGCUAUAAAUACACUGGUAUAUAAUGACUAGCACUGAUGAGGCAACACGCAAAUUCUUUGAAAGCCAUAAAUAUUUCAGUCUCGAGGCUGAAUAGAUAAGAUGUUUAAACCAUUUUCCAGCACAAUAUUAGUACUUGUUUUACCAUCGUUUACUUACUAUAGAACUCACCUCUUUGGUAUAGGUUAUCUUUUUCCAACAAGGAACAAUCCCUUGCGUUUCUAAGGAUGGCAGAUUUAUUAUGGAGACUCCAUACAGGGUGUGCUUUCAUUUUUGGUUUCAUAAAUGGAUGUUAACUAAAACAUUGAAAAAUGAUGGCAAACUGGAAAUGUAUACAAGAAUGUGCAAAGGAAGAUUGAGAGAGGACUUUCUUUUCCCACAUGUAUAUAAGUAAACAACUUAGUCUGCCAUUUCUCUCCACUGGUCUCCACUGGCUAGUGAUGAGGCAAUGUUGGAAGAAGGGAUGUUGAAGAAUUGGCUGAAGUUGAAGCUAAAUUGAUUUUAAUUCAAAAAGGUUGGAAAGCACUUGUGUGGUUCAGAUCCGUUCACCUUGACCCUGAAAUAUAUCCUAAUCCAAAGAAAUUUAACAAUUAUAGAUGGAAUGUAAGUUGUCAAGCUUCAUGUUUACCUCUUUUGAACUAAGUCAUGGAUUCUACACUUUUAUAUGUGCUUUAUGGUUUAAUUUUGAAUUUGGUGAUGCUUAUUCAAAAAAAUAAGACAAAGUGCAGAGUGUGUGAUAAGAGGGGCAUAUUAUGUUAUUAGCAGGUUAAACAUAUUUAGGAGCCUUCUCCAGUAAUAUCUAAUAGAAUUGCUUUUAGUUAUGCUAUUUAUAUGCCUGGUAUUCUUGCAUUAAGGAAGUAAAAACCUUUGCUUUGUAAGCCUUUUAUAUGUUUUAGCUUCAUAAAAUUGAGACAAUUGCUGACAGGAUACGCAUACCAUUGAUUUUGGAUAUCAAUAAAGUUGUGGCUUAAAAUAUAUAUUAGUGACCUCAAUCAGUAAUUUGGAUUAUAGUCUCAUGUCUAAUUACGUAAGAACUUGUAUUGGAUUUGAUAGCUUAGUGGGUUUAAAAUUUAAUGUCGUAUUUUCUCCCUUAUUUAGGAUUUUUUUGCUAUUGGCUCGUUUAAUAUUCUUUUUGUGAUCUUGUGUUAAGAUUACAUCUUUUGAGUAUUAAUUAAAAAUACCUUUUAUAUGUAUUAAACUCUAACUAUUAAUUAAAAAUAUCUUUGAUGUCUAUGAAACUGUAGUUAUAAAAUAAAAUAUAACUUUGACGUUUAUAAAAUCAUAAACAUACUUGUGUUUCCUAUUUUACAUCAGUCUUAAGGUUGUGUUUUGUUGGGUAUUUAUGAUACACCAACUUUACAUGCGAAGGAAAAAUUAUUUCUGAAUAAGGAUGACAAAUAUAUUUGUAGCUUUUGCUAGAAAUAUAUCUUUGGUGUUUCUUGUACUUUUGAAGGGAAUUAUUCAAGGUAGUAUCCAACACAGUCCUAAGGAACCACAGAGGUUGUGAUUCAACAUCAUACCAAAAAGAUUCAACAUACUUUAACUACAGAAAGACACACAAAGGAGACAUUUGAUUGCAAGUGGCUAGUUGUUAUGAUCCUCAAGGUAGCAUCCCCAUGGUAGUAUCUCUAGCUUUCGGAAAUUGAGCAACUCACCAUGGAUAUUCAGAUUUUAAUUCUGAAGAUGUAAGUAUUGUCUUUUUAUCGAGCUAACAAACUUCAGUUAGUAAAUUGGAUUAGUUUUCCUAGAGUAGAAUUUACUUUUUUUAAAGAAUUAAUAAUAGAUUUUGUCCUAGAAGUGAAUUUGUAGUUGAGUUUUGGUUUAUUUUUUCUUUAUUUAGACUUGGUCUUUGCAAGGAAUAUAGUGGUAAGUAGGGAUAUUUUAGUGUAUGCUAAUGGAGACAACUUUAUAGUGUGUAUUGUACCCUGGUGUUAAGUUUUAUCAUUGUUGAGUAAA